This 495-nucleotide ribosomal RNA is filed under the name uncultured bacterium. RNAcentral describes it as "partial 16S ribosomal RNA". It matches the Rfam family "Bacterial small subunit ribosomal RNA", at positions 28 to 507 of the family's 1533-position model. The record is from RNAcentral.
GACGAACGCUGGCGGCGUGCCUAAUACAUGCAAGUAGAACGCUGAAGGAGGAGCUUGCUUCUCUGGAUGAGUUGCGAACGGGUGAGUAACGCGUAGGUAACCUGCCUGGUAGCGGGGGAUAACUAUUGGAAACGAUAGCUAAUACCGCAUAAGAGUAGAUGUUGCAUGACAUUUGCUUAAAAGGUGCAAUUGCAUCACUACCAGAUGGACCUGCGUUGUAUUAGCUAGUUGGUGAGGUAACGGCUCACCAAGGCGACGAUACAUAGCCGACCUGAGAGGGUGGUCGGCCACACUGGGACUGAGACACGGCCCAGACUCCUACGGGAGGCAGCAGUAGGGAAUCUUCGGCAAUGGACGGAAGUCUGACCGAGCAACGCCGCGUGAGUGAAGAAGGUUGUCGGAUCGUAAAGCUCUGUUGUAAGAGAAGAACGAGUGUGAGAGUGGAAAGUUCACACUGUGACGGUAUCUUACCAGAAAGGGACGGCUAACUACGUG